GGGUACAGCUCAAGUGGUAGAGCACAUGCUUAGCAUGCAUGAGGUCCUGAGUUAAAUUCCCAGUAUCUCCA
Molecule: transfer RNA, 71 nt
Filed under: Camelus bactrianus (Bactrian camel)
Lineage: Eukaryota; Metazoa; Chordata; Mammalia; Artiodactyla; Camelidae
Also listed under: 2 other names
Rfam family: tRNA
About the family: Transfer RNA (tRNA) molecules are approximately 80 nucleotides in length.
Source: Rfam by way of RNAcentral